Long non-coding RNA from Bos taurus (domestic cattle), 9158 nucleotides. NCBI's taxonomy places the organism in Eukaryota, Metazoa, Chordata, Mammalia, Artiodactyla, Bovidae. The record is from Ensembl.
GAGCGCGCGGCCGCGCGCCCCGGCCGGCCCGCUCUCCCAGGUGACCGCCCCCGCCGCGCCCCGAGCUCACGUUGCUGAUGCCCGCCAGGUGCGGGAUGCCUCCAGCAUGCGGAACCAGAUGCCCAUGUCCAGCGCGCGCUCGGCCACCCGGCGGAUGAACUGGCGCGCGUCCAGGUGGAUCUCCACCCAAUUGCUGAGCAGCGCGAAGAGUGGCGCGAGCGGGCAGGCGGCCCCGAAGGUGGUAACGAAGCCGAACUGCAGGACUGCGGGGAUAAGGGUCACCGUCAGGCCCUCCGGUGGCCACGGCGCGCUACCCUGACUUCCGCCCGCCGGGUUUCAUCCGGUGAUAAGGACCACGCGCACCUGAGACCAGUGGCCAGACACUGCCCACCGUAAACCCUUCACCGCGCCCUUCAGGGAGGCGUGGGACCACCCCUGCCUGUGCCCACAGUCCCUGCUUUUACCCACCCCACAGGCUCCAGGCACGGCCCCCUUCUCCCGGAAGCCUCCCCGGAAUGCUCUCACAGAGCUGGGUGUGUUUCUGGCUGGUCCCCGGCCUCCCCCUGCCGCCUGUGGUCUGGGACUUUAACUGUCCUUCCCGGGCUGUGCCCGCCCUGUGGACUCGUGGCAAGAUUCUAGGAAGGGGCUCCUUGAAAGGGGCUCCUUGCUCUUAUGUAAGAUUCCUAAGGAGAGCCUGGGGCCCGGCGGCCUUCCGUCCAGUGGUCGCCCGCUCACGUUAUGAAGAAGCAUGUCCCUCCCUGUGUGCCUUCUGCCCUCUUCCUCCGCAGAACGAAGCCACUGGCGUCAACCCUGUUGCUCUGGCCGCCGGAGGCUCAGAGCAAUGCCUUGCUCAGAUGCAGCACUUUUGACUGUGCAGCGGUUCUCCCCUCUGUCAUCAAACAGAAGGGCUGCGUGAGACACAGACCCUGGCCUCAAAAAGUGCAGCCACCCCAUCCAUGCGGGGGAUAAACCCCGAACACAGGCCCCCUCCUGGCAAGGGCACUGGAGGGUCCAGCAAAGAGUGUGGGCAUCGAAAAGCUGUCCAGAGAAGCCCAGUUCCCCAGUGCUGCCUCCGUGCAACCUCGCCCCGGCCAGAGCACCCUCACUGCUCUCCUCACGCCCUGCGCAGGGCUCUGGCCCCGGUGUUCAGGGGCUGGAGGAGAUGAAGGCCACUCAAAGUGAGCCCCAUUGGGGGCCCCAGGUCCUCUCUGAGUCCCUGGACCUGGGGCGCUGCCCCUCCUGCCCUCAGCCAGCCUUUCUUGAGUGCUCCCCGCCAUGGCCCCCACCAUUCGUUUCCUGAUCUCUCCAGGCCUGACUCCAUCAGGGACCCCCUGUCAUACCCAUCCUUACAUUGUGUUUCAAGGCAGCUGCAGACAGGAAUGCUGAGGCUGGCAGGCCCUUUGGUGGUGCAGUUACCCUUCCCCAUGUCGCUGGUGGUCAUGGCACCUACCGUGGCCCCUGCCUAUCUCGAAGAAGUGAAGUGAAGUUGCUCAGUAGGGUCCGACUCUUUUCGACCCCAUGGACUGUAGCCUACCAGGCUCCUCCAUCCAUGGGAUUUUCCAAGCAGUAGUACUGGAGUGGGUUGCCAUUUCCUUCUCCAGGGGAUCUUCCUGACCCAGGGAUUGAACCCAGGUCUCCCGCAUUGUAGACAGACGCUUUACCGUCUGAGCCACCAGGGAAGUCCGUCUCGAGGUACCUGUCAAAUAGGCCCUCGAAGGGCAAAAUCUGGUAGUCCACCUCCCAGAGCUCCUGCCGGCCUCCAGGGAAACCCCUGCCUUCUUCUUCUGGGAGCAGAGCCGGAACCCUUGCCAGCAGCCUUUGGCUUCCUGGAGACAGAAACACCAGGAAGACGGCCCUGAGGGCAUCUGAGCCCACCCCUGGGGCCCAGGGUGGGCAGAGCGAGGGGCAGGCCUUCGGCACCCGUGUCCCCCUGGUGGGGCAGCGUGCCAGCCUCCCCCUAAUCUCCCUGAGGCAAGUCAGCGCUGCUCAGAGGAGGCGGCAGGAGCUACGUCAGGAGGGAGCGGAUGAGGACCCCAGGAUGCGAGUGUGUGGGCACUUCGCUGCCCACACUUGCACUCGUCCAGCUACACCCUGUCUGCUGUAAUCUUGAAUUCAGCUUCCCAGCACCGCCUGCCCUGAGAGUCAGGGCCACACCACAGAGGGCACGUGGCUGGGCUAAGGUCUGACAGCGUGGUUUGUGGUGCCCAGGAGUCUCCAGGGAGAUGAGGUGUGCAGGGGAUGGUGAGGGUCCAGCUUGGGUCCAGCCUUGGGCCGGAUGUGAGGCAUCCCUGGGUGGUCAGUGCAAGGGCUCUGGCGUGGGCAGGGCUGCGGUCCCAGGUGCCUUGAUUGCGGCCACAGUAGUGCCAGUGGGUGGAACCGGGGGAUGGGACCCCAGUGUCCCCAUUAGGGCACCGGAAUCCUGGGGCCUCCUCUUGCUCCUCCCUCCCUGAAGAAUGCCUGGCCCAGCCCCAGUGGGCUACACACAGGAUGGACCAGUGGUUGGGGCAGCACCCAGGAACCCAGGCCUCCUGCCCUCCAGAGGCAGUUCCGGGGCAAGAGACCCCAUUAAGAGCCUGCAGCAGCAACACAGGGUGGGGGCAUCAGAGAGCCUAUGGGCCAGUAGCUGGGUGGAGCCUCCCCUGCACGUGCCCGAGUCGCUGGGGUCCAGGUGGGCUGGACCUGCCUUCCCCACAACCUCUUCUCCCAGCGGGGCUGGCUACCCCAGCCACUCCUGGGUCCCACGGUCCCUGGAUGAUUUCCAGGCAGAUGGGGUGGGGUGGGAGACUCACCCCGGGGAGCAGAGGUACAGGAAUCUCACGGAUGGUGUUGAUGACCUGUUUGUCCACCAGGAUGACCAGGAGAUCCUGGGCCAGCUCGGCGAGGCAGCCCCCAGCUGCACACUGUGGUGCCCGCCCUUCAGGUUAGCUUGUGGGAGGGACCAGCCUCAAGGCACCUGUACACUUCCGGGCCUCCAAGGUGGCCCCUGCCACGCCCUCACGUUCUUUUCAGACAGGCCAGGGGCACCUUGAGGCCUACAGAGACCCUCCUUCCCUUCCUUCCCCAUCCUGACCUCAUUCAAGCCUCCGCAGUCUUCCCCAGGUCUAGCGGGCAGAUGUUAUGGGACAUCAGAGGCAUGGCCGUGUGGCACCCUGGGCUCUUUGGGGAACCACGUGGAGUCACAUGGGGUUGACCCUAGCCUGUGGAUCCGAGGCAGAUCCAGGAUGCAGGCAGGCCUCACCAAGCAGGGACCUGAUGACGCCAGUGAGAGGCGGGUCCUGGGGCUCUUAGGGGGAACCUGUGGGACAACAUGCCUUGUGCUGGGUAUUAAGCUAGAGGAUGUUGUCUUGGGCUCUUGGGACGUCAGCCCACACUGCAAGAUGUCUUCCCUACCAGGAGAGGAGAAUCUGCCUGAAGAAUCUGCCUGAAAACACAGCCAGUGCUGGGAAAGCAGUGCAAAAUUGUUCAAACACCUGGUUCCAGUCAGCCCUGAGCUCACAGAGCCUCCUGUGUUUUCAAUAGAGGAGCCCACGAAACUGCAUUUUUUUGCUGGAACCAUUUUGAGUUGGGAACUUUUCCUGUUGGUAACUGCAGGCUGCUUGCCUGCAGUGUGCCAUGCGCAGUCCUGCCCUGAGUCUCAGCCCAUCUGCCCUGUCUCCCCAACAUGUGAGCCUGGAGAGGGCUCCUUAGGGACAGCCCCUUCGCAGGGAGCUGUCAGACUGGGUCGCAGCUCUGACCCAUGGAAAGUUGCUGCUCUCCCUCCUCCUCCAACAAAUGGGAGCAGAGGGGCUUUCAGGGGAGGUGUUCCACGGCAACUCCUGGACCCCUACCUGUGCCUCCUUGGCCCUCAGCCAGGAAGGGACCAGAUGGUCAUCUUGAGGGUUUUUCUACAAUGUCUCAGGCGGGUUGGGGCAGGGUUGAACUCACAAGCCCACAAGCCCACAAGCUCACAGGUGGUGAACCCCUCUGGAGUGCUCCUAGGAGCACCUCCUUCUGCACAGCCCUUGUCCCCUGUGUGCUUCCCAGGGUGACAUCCGCACCCGUGAACUGAUCCUGGGCCUUUCCUUGGGGUCUGCUCUUGGGGACCCCGCACAACAGCAAGGGUUCAUCCUGCAGGAAACCAGCUUCCGCUAUCCAGAAAACAGUUCCCUGUCUCUCAAAGCUGCAGGUGAGCCCGCUUGUGCUGACGUGGGGGCGGGGGCGCCUUGGGGAGAAGCCCCGUGGGGGGCCGUUAGCCUCUGCACCUCCAGCUUGCUGACCGAGCUUGCGGCAGCGACGGCGGCUCACGGCCCAUGCCAGUGACUGGGGCUGGGUUCGGGUGCGAAUCGGGUGCCAACGGGGACAGGCGGAUUGUGAGCUUCUGAGUACAGCUGUCUGAGUGGGGCCCAGGGAGGGCCACCGCCGGCUCUCCGCGCUCACCUCUUCCUUGCGGACCCCGAGCAAGGUGUAGCAGUUGCCGGGGUAGCCGCCGAACCUGGGGAGAGCCAAGCCUCCGUUCCCCCGGCCGCCCGCCGCCCAGCUGGCGGAACCACAAGGUGGGCACGGCGGGCAUCGGGGAGCGACCCCUGUGCCAGCCCACCUCUCCCGAGCGUCUGGGCGGUGUCAGGGCCACAGGGGGCGGGGCGCGGGCGUGACCGCCGUGUGAGGCGCGGCCGGGCCACGCGUGGUAGGGCGGGGCCAGGGCUAAGGAGGGGCGGGGGCCAGUUUGGGAGCGGGCGGGGCGGGGACGGGCUGAGGAGGGGCGGGCCAGUAGGGAGUAGGCGGGGCUUGGGUGGGGCGGGCUGAGGCGGAACGGGGGCGUGACCAGGGCGGCCCCCAGUGGGCGUGGCGGGCUGAGGGGCGGGGCUAACUUGGCGUGGGCGUGACCUGGGCGGGGACGUGGGCGUGGCGGGCCCGGAUGGGCGGGGUAUGGGCGGGGCGGGCAGGUGUGGCCGGCGCAGGCGCUAACCGGCUCUUGCGGAAAGCGGUGUAGAAGCGGCGAGUAGAAACUGAGGAACUGUAAGAUGGACACCCUGCGGGUGAAAGCGCCCUCGGACUCGACCUGGGCGUCCCUCUAGGGCACAGCGAGUGCCUGCGUCAGACACCUCCCCGGCGCAGGGAGUGAGGAAAGGGCCUGCCCCCGGGCGUUCAAAGAGAUCCGUUCAGGAAAGAAGGGAGGGCGCGUUUCCGAAGCUCCGACUUCAGGACCUUCUGGAAGCGCUCCGCGGGUAGAGGAGGAGCCAGGCAAGUGCCGGAAACGGAAGCGGGUCACAGAAGAGGGGGCGCCCCGCCCCCCGCCGAGGCCCCGCCUGCCGGGAGCAGGAGCUCCGCCCGUGGCAAAGGUCAUGAGGAAGGAGGCUGGGCAUACGCAAAGGUGGGAUGGGGCCUCAGGAGUCCCCCUGGAAAUUCUCGAGCAUCUGCCCCCCAAACCAGAGUCUGCCUACUUUCUGCUUUGUGCUCUCACCUACACCUCUGACUUUACGGGGGGCUGUCCCCCACUACCUCUCUCUGAAAAAGGAGUUAACUUAUACCUCCAGUUAAUAAAGUUCCUGCGUGUGAUAGUGUUUCAACCUACAAACUCCUUUGGAAAUCCUCUAGCCUGCCUGAAUAGGUUUUUCCGGCCACAUGUGAUUGCUCAGACUGUGAGAGGCAUGAGAUGUUCUAAACUGUCUAAAUACAGAGUCCUUUGAGCAGUUAAAAGAUUGAUUAGAAAUUGUAUCGGUGAAGGGUUUUUCACUUAUUGGGCCAAUGUUUGCUGCUAAGUCUCCAUACCCCUUACCUAUUGUGUCCUUGGCAGUGUAUUGAUUGAUAUAAUGGGUGUAUAGAAAUGUAAGUAGAAGCCUCAAUGUUUGUAACCUUGGACCCUUGAGUUAAUUCUUUUCUUGAUUGAGCCCACCUCACCUUUGCCCUAUAGGAACGCAGCUUUGUCCAAUGCUUUUUGGAGGCUGGCGCCUGACUUUAGAAUAAUCACCUUUAGAGAAAAAUAAGUUUCUUAAAAUGUUAACAGGCCUCCUGGCCAGAAGAUGAUGUAAUUCACCUGAACUCUUGCAUGUGAUAAGUUUGAAAGCCUGGCUUUGAUUAGGAUCAGGAACUGCUGUCCUUGCAUGACACCAUCCCUUCCCCUAUUAUCCUCUAUGCACAACUUAAGGUAUAAAAACUACUUUGGAAAAUAAAGUGCGGGCCUUGUUCACCGAAACUUGGUCUCCCCAUGUCGCUCUCUCUCUCAAAUUCUGGCUGAGUCUCCAUCUGGAGCGCGGAACCUGCCACGCUUACUAAUUAUGCCUGGGCUUCUAAGAUCCGACUGAGGAGGCCUCAGUGUCUCCUCUCCUUCGGGAGAACGGAAGGACGCCUGCGGCCUACGUAAGUGGUGCAAACCUCUUGUCUUGAAGUUUUAUUGGUCUCCCGCGUAAACCAAGCUACUCAGCCUCUUUUCUCCACUGAAUUUCCUCACUGAGCUAUCCUCAUUCUUUACAUCUUUGAUAAAUAUUUAAAUGAAUAGGUCGCCUACUCCGUCUCUCCUUCGAAUACCCUGGAUCAGCCGGGGCUGGACCCCGGCACCCGCCCACUGCCGUUUAAGGGGCUUGGGGGGAGGACGGGACACGUCCCAGCGGCGCCUCACUGGAUCAGCCGGGGCUGAACCCCGGCACCUGCCCACUGCCGUUUAAGGGGCUUGCGGGAGGACGGGACACAUCCCAGCGGCGCCUCACUGGCCAGCGCCCAGCGCUCGGCACUCACCCCGUCUCGUCAGGACGUGCGCCCGGGCCACGUAGAUCUUGGAGAGCAUGAGGAUGAAGAUGAAGUGCACCAUGGACCCCGUGAGGCUGGCGAUGCGCGAAGCCUAUGUGGGACGGCAGGGUGAUGGAGGAGGGAACCAGAGCCCACCACCCAGCCAGCCAGCAGGAGCAAGGAUGGAAGCUCACCCAGGCUGCGAGGAUGCUGUUGUCUGGCCCAGACACCAGGAUGGCCGUGAGGGCCCGGUACACAGUGAUGGGCACCAGGCACAGAGCACCACGGCCACAUGCGGGGCAGCGGGUGCAUGAGCCUUGCGGCUGCAGCCUGACACCCCAGCACCCUCAGGGCACAGCCGCAUGCUGUCCCACUCCCAGACCAGGCUGUGCGCCCGGCCUCUCCUGGCGGGUUGCUGGGCAGCGAGUGGUGGCCGGCAGGGAGAGGAGGGGUGGGCAGUUCCUUAGAGUUAGAGGUAGGCGACUCAGCGACCUCUGGGCAGCACAGGGGCCUCUGUGUCUUGUUGUCAGCCAACCCCCAUCUCACUAGCUGAAACUGGGAAUUCUUGAGGUCUCCGAAGGGGGUCAGUUAGGAAGUCCCUCUGACUAGAGGGCAAGACAGGGUGAGGGGACCUGUGCUUGAAGGAUGGCCCAGGCCCCUGCCCCACACGCACCUGCCUCUUAUGGCCCAGAUCCCUAGCUCAGCCCCUCCCUGGAGCCCAGGAACACCGUGGCCUUUCUGAGGACAGUGAGGGCCUCCUGGGUCCCAGAGACAAUAUCACGCCCUGCCCCACAGCGGGGAGUGGGGGCUACUGCUCACUGAGGACAGCGGCCUGACGGGCAGCGCCCGGCAGCGGGGAUCCUCACCAUUGUCAGGACCACCACGGAGCUGGCCAGCACCUGGCGCAGGCGGCUCCUCUCAGGGCAAGUAGGGCUCGUCCUCAGUGGUGGUGGGAUUCAGUAUUGUGGGAGCUGAGGCGGAAAACUGGGGCCGCGGCCGCUCCCAGCGGGGGAGGGGGAGUGCUCAGCGGGGUGCGUGCUGGGGGCGGGGCCUCGUCGGGGCACCGCCCACCUCGAGGUCCCCGGAGUUCCAGCAGCCUCGGCUGUAGGCCAGCGGGCGCUCAUCCGCUUCCAGGAGCAGCACGGGCCACAGCGCCGUGAACAGACUCAAGAAGACCGCGCCUCCGUGGCCAGGGAGCCGCCGGCCUGGACGGGGCAGCGGGGCUCCCCCGUGCUUGGGACUGGGCCCUUUUCUCCCUCCUGCCCCGCCCUCGAGGAAUGCCCCCCAGCCCCGUCCCUCGCUGCCCACCGUUGUACCCUGGAGGCGGUGACCGUCUGGUGCACAGGAGGCAGCGGUGUUGCCGCAGAACCUCCCCCACCCCCCACUCAGGAUGAGAUGAGCCUGGGGACUCGGGUUGACGCUGCAUUGGGUGACACUUUGGGGCAAUGGGUUGGGGGUGACUGUAUUUUGCUCAUGGGGGCCAGAGGGUGGACUGUAGUGGCUUGAACUGUGCUCCUGAAAAGAUACAUCCUCCGGUACACACGUUCUGAUGGGAAGGCCAUCAGAAUACAGCCUUCCUUGGAAUAAAGGCCUUUGCAUGUGUAAUUAGGAUAAGGAGCCCCCGAUGAGAGCACCUGGAUUAGGGGGACCUGGAACCAGCGACAAGCCCUUGUAGGAGGAGGAGAGACAGACGUGGCCUGCACAGAGGGAGAGGCCACGUGAAGACGGGGGAGAGGGGAGCGGCGCGGCCACAAGCCAGCGGCGUCAGAGCCCCAGAGCCACUGGACAUUCGCACCUUCUCCAGAAGGAACCAGCUGCCACACCGGCAGUACUGGAUCCUGCCUGCAGAACCGUGAGAAAAGCAGCUUGGUUUUUUUUUUUUGCAGCUUGUUGUUUUAACGCCCAUUUGUGGUCAUUUGUUAGGGCAGACCUAGGACACUGGCAGAGACAGGUUCCCAGCAGGGUGCUGAAGGCGUGUCUGUCUGUGGGUCCAUCCUGGGCUCCGAAGCUCCGGCCCAAGUAGUGUGGGUGCGGGCCUCGCAGCUGCGCUCAGGGAAGAGCUGACCCACCCUGGAAGUGUAAAGGCUGAGGAAACCGCAGCCUGAGGACUCUGUGCCUGAGGGCGGCAAGGUCUGUGUGCUCGGGGUCCUGCGCUUGACCUUCCUGGCUGCCAUUCCUAAUAGCAGGAGGAACAGGAGGAGCUCCCACGGCGUCUCCCGCCCAGCUGCUCCGCUGAGCACUGCGGGCCGGGGGCCAGCCGGCCUCAGCCGGUGGAGACGCUGCCUCCUGGGUGAGUAACGCACAGGGUGCUCAACCUUGCAUGGUGCCGAGCGGGGCUCCCCAGAGGGGUGUGGCCGGACCAGGGAGCAGGGGACUGCCCUCCACCCUCGCCUGCCCACCCUCCUCUCUGGACCAGGGCGCAGGUGAGGGAGAGCAGCCAGAGGGGCAGACCGGGC